UCCGGUUUGGCACCGGCAGUCCUCCCAGAGUCCCCGGCGUUAUCCGCUGGCAACAUAGGAUAAGGGUUGCGCUCGUUGCGGGACUUAACCCAACAUCUCACGACACGAGCUGACGACAGCCAUGCACCACCUGUGCACUGGCCCCGAAGGGCUGCCGUAUUUCUACGGCAUUCCCGUGCAUGUCAAGCCCAGGUAAGGUUCUUCGCGUUGCGUCGAAUUAAACCACAUGCUCCACCGCUUGUGCGGGCCCCCGUCAAUUCCUUUGAGUUUCAGCCUUGCGGCCGUACUCCCCAGGCGGGACACUUACUGCGUUAGCGACGGCACCGGGAGGGUCGCUCCCCCCGACGCCUAGUGUCCAUCGUUUACGGCGUGGACUAC
This 378-nucleotide unclassified non-coding RNA is filed under the name uncultured bacterium. Its description in RNAcentral is "contains 16S-23S intergenic spacer region". The record is from RNAcentral.